Molecule: long non-coding RNA, 312 nt
Filed under: Callithrix jacchus (white-tufted-ear marmoset)
Lineage: Eukaryota; Metazoa; Chordata; Mammalia; Primates; Cebidae
Description: lncRNA (ENSCJAG00000084632.1)
Source: RNAcentral
GAAUCAAUUCAGUAAUUUGCACAGAUUCAAUAUUACUCCUAUAAUAUUACCAGUUAUAUUUACAUAUACUCUCUUUAAUAAGAUUGAUGAAGUAUCAUGACAGCUGAUAUGCAAAAUUCUACAUAGAAUUUGUGAGCUUGUAAACAUAAUCUGAAAUACUACCAGGGUUCAGAAACACUGCACCGAAGAAAAAACUUGGGAAGAGGUUCUACCUUCAAAGACAGGAAGCAUCCACCCAAACAUGCAUCGCUUUGACAAUAAGGUCAAGAACUGAGGACCUAAGAAACGGCAGAGCUAAAAGAGCUAUAACAC